GGCUUAGAAGCAGCCACUCAUUAAAAGAGUGCGUAAUAGCUCACUGGUCGAGUGAUCCCGCGCCGAAAAUUUAACGGGGCUAAACUAUAAACCGAAGCUUGGGAUACCGCAAGGUAUGGUAGGAGAGCGUCAUGUAAGGGGUGAAGUCAUAGCGAAAGCGGUGGUGGACUUUACAUGAGUGAGAAUGCCGGAAUGAGUAGCGAGAAUUAAGUGAGAAUCUUAAUGGCCGAAAGUCUAAGGUUUUUGGAGGAAGGUUCGUCCGCUCCAAGUAAGUCGGGAGCUAAGGCGAGGCCGAAAGGCGUAGUCGAUGCACAUACGGUUGAUAUUCCGUAACCACUGACAACUUAAACAAAAUGACACUUUAGAAGGGCUUGACCCGGGUGCUGGUAAUCCCGGGCGUAAGGGACCGAAAUUUAGUAGGGAAGCAAGCUUGGAUGGAGGCGAGAAAAGUUUUGUGUAUGUAAUGUUGGUGCCCGUACCGCAAACCGACACAGGUGGACAGGAAGAGAAUUCUAAGGCCAGCGGGAGAAGGGUAGUUAAGGAACUCGGCAAAUUGACUCCGUAACUUCGGGAAAAGGAGUGCUCUCGAGAGAGAGCCGCAGUGAAUAGGCCCAGGCGACUGUUUAGCAAAAACACAGGUCUCUGCCAAAUCGAAAGAUGAAGUAUAGGGGCUGACACCUGCCCGGUGCUGGAAGGUUAAGAGGAGGAGUGAGAGCUCCGAAUUGAAGCCCCAGUAAACGGCGGCCGUAACUAUAACGGUCCUAAGGUAGCGAAAUUCCUUGUCGGGUAAGUUCCGACCCGCACGAAUGGUGUAACGAUCUGGGCACUGUCUCAACUACCCGCCCGGCGAAAUUGUAGUACCGGUGAAGAUGCCGGUUACCUGCGACAAGACGGAAAGACCCCAUGGAGCUUUACUGUAGCUUGAUAUUGGGUUUCGGUAAUUUAUGUACAGGAUAUGUGGGAGACUGGGAAGUUAUGGCGCCAGCCAUAAUGGAGUCGAUGUUGGGAUACCACACUUAGAUUGCUGGAAUUCUAACCUGUGGCCAUGAAACUGGUCAGGGGACAUUGUCAGGUGGGCAGUUUGACUGGGGCGGUCGCCUCCGAAAGAGUAACGGAGGCGCUCAAAGGUUGGCUCAGCACGGACGGAAACCGUGCAUUAGAGUGUAAACGCGUAAGCCAGCCUAACUGCGAGGGUGACGGCCCGAGCAGUAACGAAAGUUGGAGUUAGUGAUCCGGCGGUAUGUGAAUGGAAAUGCCGUCGCUCAACGGAUAAAAGCUACCCUGGGGAUAACAGGCUGAUCUCCCCCAAGAGUCCACAUCGACGGGGAGGUUUGGCACCUCGAUGUCGGCUCAUCACAUCCUGGGGCUGUAUUCGGUCCCAAGGGUUCGGCUGUUCGCCGAUUAAAGUGGUACGCGAGCUGGGUUCAGAACGUCGCGAGACAGUUCGGUCCCUAUCUGUCGUGGGCGCAGGAUAUUUGAGGAGCUCUGUCCUUAGUACGAGAGGACCGGGAUGGACGUACCUCUGGUGCACCAGUUGUCACGCCAGUGGCACAGCUGGGCAGCUAUGUACGGAACGGAUAAACGCUGAAAGCAUCUAAGCGUGAAGCCGACUCCAAGAUUAGAUAUCCCAUCAGAAUAUGAGUAAGACCCCUUGUAGACUACGAGGUUGAUAGGCUGCGUGUGUAAGCAUGGUGACAUGUUCAGCUUGGCAGUACUAAUAGGUCGAGGGCUUGACCAC
RNAcentral lists this ribosomal RNA (1738 nucleotides) under human gut metagenome. Its description in RNAcentral is "bacterial LSU rRNA". It matches the Rfam family "Bacterial large subunit ribosomal RNA", at positions 1103 to 2925 of the family's 2925-position model. The record is from RNAcentral.